AGAGCCGCAGCCCACCCGGGGAAGUGAGGAGCAGCUGCGUGAGGCAGCAGAGGGGUUCCACAUGGCGACCAAUGCUGCAGCCCAGAACACCAUCAAGAAGCUUGUGCACAAGCUGGAGGUGAGAUCUACGCUUAGUGAUGGAACUCAGGGAGGAGGGAUCGCUGCCCGAGAGGUGCCCCUCUCCCUGCACUUGCUCAGCCAGGCUGCCUGUGGUGUGGCAACCAGCACACCCAACCCGCAGGCACAGAGUGCCAUGCUGGAGUGCGCUGGCGAUGUCAUGGAUAAAGCCAACAACCUCAUUGAGGAGGCGCAGAAAGCGGUGGCCAAACCCCAUGACCCAGAGAGCCAGCAGCGCCUGGCCCAGGAGGCCAAGGCAGUGUCACAGGCCCUGAGCCACUGUGUCAACUGUCUGCCAGGACAGCGGGAUGUGGACGCUGCCAUCUGCAUGGUGGGAGAGGCCAGCAAAAGUCUGUUGGUGGAUUUGUUCUUUCCCAGCACCAAGAGCUUCCAGGAGGCGCAGAGCCAGCUGAACCGGGUGGCUGUGGGGCUCAACCAGUCUGCCAACAAGCUGGUGCAGGUGUCACGUGGUACCUCUCAAGACCUGGCUAUGUCUUCCAGGAAGUUUGGGCAGGACUUCAGUGAGUUCCUGCAGGCAGGAGUGGAGAUGGCCAGCAAGUCUCCAAAUAAGGAAGACCAGACACAGGUGGUGUUGAACUUGAAGAGCAUCUCCAUGUCCUCCAGUAAGCUGCUGCUGGCUGCAAAGGCACUCUCUGCUGACCCCACAGCCCCCAACCUCAAGAAUCAGCCAGAGGCAGCGGCAUGGGCUGUGACCGACAGCAUUAACCAGCUUAUCACCAUGUGCACUCAGCAGGUGCCAGGCCAGAAAGAGUGCAACAACACCCUGCAGGAGCUGGAGAUGGUGAAAGAGCUGUUGGAGAACCCCACCCAGACCAUCAACAACAUGUCCUACUUCACCUGCCUCGACAGCGUCAUGGAGAACUCCAAGGUGUUGGAUGAGUCCAUGGCUGGCAUCUCCCAGAAUGCCAAGAACAGCAAACUGCCCAAGUUCGUUGAGUCUAUCAGUGCCACCUCCAUAGCUCUCUGUGGGCUGACAAGAAGCAGUUGCCCAGCUGCCUACCUUGUGGGUGUCUCAGACCUCAACAGCCAGGCUGGACAGCAGGGCUUGGUAGACCCCGCUCAGUUUGCCAUAGCUAACCAAGCCAUCCAUAUGGCCUGCCAGAACCUGGUGGACCCUGCCUGCACCCAGUCCCAGGUGCUGUCAGCAGCCACCAUUGCAGCGAAGCACACCUCGUCCCUGUGCAACACGUGCCACCUGGCCUCCUCCCACACUGCCAGUUCUGUGGCCAAGUGCCAGUUCAUCCAGUCAGCCAAGGUGGUGGCCAACAGCACAACCAAUCUGGUGAAGACCAUCAAGGCCCUGGAUGGCAAGUUCAACAAGGAGAACUGGGAGCAGUGCCACACUGCCACUGCCCCUCUCAUAGAGGCUGUGGAUAACCUGACCGCCUUUGCUUCCAACCCGGAGUUUGCCACUGUGCCUGCCCAGAUCAGCCCAGAGGGGUAUAGAGCCAUGGAGCCCAUCAUCUCUUUAGCCAAGAACCAUGCUGGAGAGCUCUACUGGCCUCAUCCAGACCGCCCGCUCUCUGGCUGUCAAUCCCAAGGACCUACCACAGUGGUUGGUGCUGGCCAACCCGCUCUCACACAGUCUGAGAUUCCAUCAAGAAGCUGAUCACCAACAUGAGGGACAAAGCUCUGGGACAGCGGGAGUGUGAUGAGGCCAUUGAGGUGCUGAACAGAUGCAUGUGGGAGAUGGACCAGGCCUCCCUCGCUGUCAUCAGCCAGCAGCUGGCCCCCCAAGAAGAUAUCCACCAGGAGAGUUUGCACAACAAGAUGAUCACAGCUGUUCAGGAGAUCAGCAACCUGAUCAAGCCCAUGGCCAGCGCAGCAUGGGUUGAGGCCUUGCAGCUGGGGCACAAGGUGUCCCAGAUGGCUUAGUACUUUGAGCCGUUCACUAUAGCAGCUAUUGGCACUGCCUCCAAAACACCUACUAGCAGGAGAUGAACCUCCUGGACCAGACCAAAAUGCUGGCCAAGUCCAUCCUGCAGAUGCUGUAUAUAGCCAAGGGGGCCAGUGGAAACCUGAAGCAAGCUGCCCACACCCAGGAGGCUCUGGAGGAGGCCAUGCAGAUGAUGAAGGAAGUGGUGGAGGACCUGGCCACCACCCUAAAUGAGGCAGCCAGCGCUGCAGGUGUUGUGGGGGACAUGGUGGACUCUAUCACCCAGGCCAUCAACCAGGUGAGGGGAGCAUGGAGAGGACCUGCUGGGGCUGGAGCCAGAUUCUCCUGAUGGUCUCUUGCAGCUGGACGAGGGGCCAAUGGCUUCUUCCAUCAGCAGGUCACCAAAUCCACCACCAACCUAGAUGAGCUGGGCAUACUGGCCAACCAGCUCACCAAUGACUAUGGGCAGCUGGUGCAAGAGGCCAAGCUGGCUGCACUCACCACAGAGAACAAGGAGAUCAGCUCCCACAUCAAGCACCAGGUGCAGGAGCUGGGUCACAGCUGUGCUGCCCUGGUCACUAAGGCUGGAGCUCUGCAGUGCAGCCCCAGUGAUGCCUACACCAAGAAGGAGCUGAUAGAGAACACACGCAAGGUUUCUGAGAAGGUGUCUCACGUGCUGGCAGCCCUGCAGGCUGGGAACCACAGGACACAAGCCUGCAUCACAGCAGCCAGCACCCUCUCUGGCGUCAUUGCCGACCUUGACACCACCGUCAUGUUUGCCGUGGCAGGAACUCUUAAUCAGGACAACUUGGAGAUCUUUGCUGACCACAGGGAGGGCAUCUUGAAGACAGCCAAGGUGCUGGUGGAGGACACCAAGGUGUUGGUGCAGAAUGCCACGGCCAGCCAGGAGAAGCUAGCCCAGGCUGCCCAGUCCUCUGUGUCCACCAUCACCCACCUGGUGGAGGUGGUGAAGUUGGGCGCUGCCAGCCUGGGAUCUGAAGACCCAGAGACUCAGGUGGUCCUGAUCAAUGCUGUGAAGGAUGUAGCCAAGGCACUUGGGGACCUGAUCAGUGCCACCAAGGCAGCUGCUGGCAAAGCCAGGGAUGACCCUGCUGUCUACUAGCUGAAAAACUCUGCCAAGGUGAUGGUGACAAAUGUCACUUCCUUGUUGAAGACAGUGAAGGCUGUUGAGGAUGAGGCCACAAAGGGGACAUGGGUGCUGGAGGGCAUGAUAGAGCAUAUACGUGAGGAGGUCAUCACCACAGCAAACCUGAGCCACUGUGCCAUUGCGGAUAUGCCGCACGCCUGCAAGCAAGCAGAUGAGAGCCUGAACUUCGAGGAGCAGAUCCUGGAAGCUUCCAAAUCCAUUGCUGCAGCCAUGAGCACCCUGGUGAAGGCAGCUUCAGCAGCCCAGCGAGAAUUAUCAGCCCAAGGAAAGGUAGGUGCCAUCCCUGCCAAUGCAGUGGAUGAUGGAUAGUGGUCCCAGGGACUCAUUUCAGCCGCACACAUGGUGGCUGCUGCCACCAACCACCUGUGUGAAGCUACCAAUGCAGCGGUGCAGGGCCAUGCCAGUGAGGAGAAGCUCAUCUCGUCAGCCAAGCAGGUGGCUGCCUUCACAGGGCAGCUCCUGGUGGCCUGCAAGGUGAAGGCUGACCACAACUCAGAGGCCAUGAAGCGGCUUCAGGUUGCCAGCAAUGUGGUGAAGAGAGUGUUGGACAAUCUGGUGAAGGUAGCACAGAAGGCGGCUGCCUUCCAGGACCGUGACGAGAUGGUGGUGGUGAAGGAGAAGAUGGUCGGGGGAAUUGCACAGAUCAUUGCCGCCCAAGAGGAAAUGUUGCACAAGGAGCAGGAGCUGAAGGAGGUGCAGAAGAAGCUGGCCGUGAUCCAGCAGCAGCAGUACAAGUUCCUGCCCUAGGAGCUGCAGGCCGAGGAGCAGAACUGA
Molecule: RNA transcript, 3956 nt
Organism: Charadrius vociferus (killdeer)
Lineage: Eukaryota; Metazoa; Chordata; Aves; Charadriiformes; Charadriidae
Gene name: talin-1-like
Exons: 28
Source: RefSeq, a predicted model, not a curated record